This 137-nucleotide unclassified non-coding RNA is filed under the name uncultured fungus. RNAcentral describes it as "sequence contains ITS1". Lineage: Eukaryota; Fungi. The record is from RNAcentral.
AUCUUUUUUUUAUAUAUAUCAUAAUUUUUUUUUUAAAGAGUGGGAUGUUUUAAAUACGAAAAUGGACGCAAAAACCUCGCGAAACGCGAGGUUCGCCAUAAUUUGUAAUGAUCCUUCCGCAGGUUCACCUACGGAAA